UGGGGAAUAUUGCACAAUGGGCGCAAGCCUGAUGCAGCCAUGCCGCGUGUAUGAAGAAGGCCUUCGGGUUGUAAAGUACUUUCAGCGGGGAGGAAGGCGAUAAGGUUAAUAACCUCAUCGAUUGACGUUACCCGCAGAAGAAGCACCGGCUAACUCCGUGCCAGCAGCCGCGGUAAUACGGAGGGUGCAAGCGUUAAUCGGAAUUACUGGGCGUAAAGCGCACGCAGGCGGUCUGUCAAGUCGGAUGUGAAAUCCCCGGGCUCAACCUGGGAACUGCAUUCGAAACUGGCAGGCUAGAGUCUUGUAGAGGGGGGUAGAAUUCCAGGUGUAGCGGUGAAAUGCGUAGAGAUCUGGAGGAAUACCGGUGGCGAAGGCGGCCCCCUGGACAAAGACUGACGCUCAGGUGCGAAAGCGUGGGGAGCAAACAGG
Molecule: ribosomal RNA, 429 nt
Filed under: Chloroflexota bacterium
Lineage: Bacteria; Bacillati; Chloroflexota
Description: Chloroflexi bacterium partial 16S ribosomal RNA
Rfam family: Bacterial small subunit ribosomal RNA
Source: RNAcentral